Small nucleolar RNA from Lemur catta (Ring-tailed lemur), 105 nucleotides. RefSeq annotates it as small nucleolar RNA U13. The record is from RefSeq and is a predicted model, not a curated record. NCBI's taxonomy places the organism in Eukaryota, Metazoa, Chordata, Mammalia, Primates, Lemuridae. The transcript has a single exon.
ACCCCUUUGUAGUUUAUAAGCAUGAUGGUUGGGUUUUCACAUUGCCUGUAUGAGAUGUGCCUCUCUCAAACCUUGUUAGGAUGUAGGCACAUUACCUGUCUGACA